RNAcentral lists this ribosomal RNA (745 nucleotides) under uncultured bacterium. RNAcentral's name for it is "bacterial SSU rRNA". It matches the Rfam family "Bacterial small subunit ribosomal RNA", at positions 33 to 773 of the family's 1533-position model. The record is from RNAcentral.
ACGCUGGCGGCAGGCCUAACACAUGCAAGUCGAGCGGUAGAGAGUAGCUCGCUUCUCUUGAGAGCGGCGGACGGGUGAGUAAUGCCUAGGAAUCUGCCUGGUAGUGGGGGAUAACGUUCGGAAACGGACGCUAAUACCGCAUACGUCCUACGGGAGAAAGCAGGGGACCUUCGGGCCUUGCGCUAUCAGAUGAGCCUAGGUCGGAUUAGCUAGUUGGUGAGGUAAUGGCUCACCAAGGCGACGAUCCGUAACUGGUCUGAGAGGAUGAUCAGUCACACUGGAACUGAGACACGGUCCAGACUCCUACGGGAGGCAGCAGUGGGGAAUAUUGGACAAUGGGCGAAAGCCUGAUCCAGCCAUGCCGCGUGUGUGAAGAAGGUCUUCGGAUUGUAAAGCACUUUAAGUUGGGAGGAAGGGUUGUAGAUUAAUACUCUGCAAUUUUGACGUUACCGACAGAAUAAGCACCGGCUAACUCUGUGCCAGCAGCCGCGGUAAUACAGAGGGUGCAAGCGUUAAUCGGAAUUACUGGGCGUAAAGCGCGCGUAGGUGGUUUGUUAAGUUGGAUGUGAAAUCCCCGGGCUCAACCUGGGAACUGCAUUCAAAACUGACUGACUAGAGUAUGGUAGAGGGUGGUGGAAUUUCCUGUGUAGCGGUGAAAUGCGUAGAUAUAGGAAGGAACACCAGUGGCGAAGGCGACCACCUGGACUAAUACUGACACUGAGGUGCGAAAGCGUGGGGAGCAAAC